AACGAACGCUGGCGGCAUGCCUAACACAUGCAAGUCGAACGAAGCCUUCGGGCUUAGUGGCGCACGGGUGCGUAACGCGUGGGAAUCUGCCCUUGGGUUCGGAAUAACAGUUAGAAAUGACUGCUAAUACCGGAUGAUGUCUUCGGACCAAAGAUUUAUCGCCCAAGGAUGAGCCCGCGUAGGAUUAGGUAGUUGGUGGGGUAAUGGCCCACCAAGCCGACGAUCCUUAGCUGGUCUGAGAGGAUGAUCAGCCACACUGGGACUGAGACACGGCCCAGACUCCUACGGGAGGCAGCAGUGGGGAAUAUUGGACAAUGGGCGAAAGCUGAUCCAGCAAUGCCGCGUGAGUGAUGAAGGCCUUAGGGUUGUAAAGCUCUUUUACCAGGGAUGAUAAUGACAGUACCUGGAGAAUAAGCUCCGGCUAACUCCGUGCCAGCCGCCGCUGUAA
Molecule: ribosomal RNA, 448 nt
Filed under: uncultured bacterium
Lineage: Bacteria
Description: partial 16S ribosomal RNA
Rfam family: Bacterial small subunit ribosomal RNA
Source: RNAcentral